Molecule: transfer RNA, 60 nt
Filed under: Rhinocola aceris
Lineage: Eukaryota; Metazoa; Arthropoda; Insecta; Hemiptera; Aphalaridae
Description: tRNA-Ser
Source: RNAcentral
CUAAAUAAUUUAUACAAAAUAUUUACCUUGAAAGUAAAAAAAGAAGUUUUCGUUAGCUUA